Suncus etruscus (white-toothed pygmy shrew) is the source of this 213-nucleotide small nucleolar RNA. RefSeq annotates it as small nucleolar RNA U3. The transcript has a single exon. NCBI's taxonomy places the organism in Eukaryota, Metazoa, Chordata, Mammalia, Eulipotyphla, Soricidae. The record is from RefSeq and is a predicted model, not a curated record.
AAGACUAUACUUUCAGGAAUCAUUUCUAUAGUAGAAACUAGAGAAGUUUCUCUGAUCGUGUAGAGCACCCGAAGCCACGAGGAGGAGCCAGAGUGUCCUCUCCUGAGCGUGAAGCCAGCUCUAGGUACUGUUUCUGUAGCUGCCUUUUGCCAUUCAUGAUCGUUCUCCCUUUCCUCUGAAAAGGGUAGAGGGAGAGAAUGCAGUCUGAGUGGU